CGCGCCCGGCUCAGCGGACUAGCGCGCCCGGUCAAGAAUCCUGGGGAACCCGCUCCGCCCCCUGGCUCCAGCGCCCUCCAAUGAUGUCGGCGUACAGAGGGCUGUUCCGCCCAAUCAGGUGUCGGAAAGCCCAGCCAGUCCCCGGGAGUGUAGCCAAUAGAAGGCGACUCCGGCAACACACCCGCCCUGAUCCAUUCGGAACAAACCGCUCCGAGCCCGGUGGUGGGACCGAUCCUGGGGCCCAGAUCAAGCCAAGUCCGGCCAAAGCUGUGUCAAAAAUCUCGAGCUAUUAGAAAGGCAGUUCUGGGAAACAAUGCAAAUACACAGGGUGAUGUCCUUCUCCCCAUCAUCCCAGUGUGAAACUUGUGGUCUCUUAGGAAGAUUCUGGGCUAGGAAAACAACAGAAAGAAAAGUUGUUCUGAUUUCUAACCUCACAUUCAACAAUACUGGGUGUUGGAAUUAAGUUUCGCUGAUUUGCGCUAAGAGAGAUGUGUCACAGUCACCCAUAAGAAGAUAAAUACACCUAAGGAGUUAUUAUUUAUUGUCACAAAAGCAACUAAACAAGUUUCAUGUGAGAGCAUUAUUUGUCCUAAAAUAAGGUGCUAGAAAUCACUCCACUCCGAAGGAUUCCCUUAUCUUCAUAGCCCAGUUUCUCCGACACCGUGUUUAUUCUUAUGAUGACCAUGGAGACAUGAAAAUCUCAUAUCUCCUGCUCAGGGAGCAUAAUCAACCAGGUGUCCCAGCUGCUGUUCUUCUGGGUCUGCCACUGUGUUCAUGUUAAGGCCACAUUUCCCACAGGCUACUCAAGCAGCAACUGAGCAUAACAGGAGAACUAAUGCAGGUCCGUUUCUGGAACACAUGGAACUCCACAACCAAGGGUCAGACCUGCAUGACAGGCUGAAGAGUUCCUUCUCCUCUUCUCCCUUUUACUUGUCCAAUAAAUUUCUUACACAUCUAA
This is a long non-coding RNA of Pongo pygmaeus (Bornean orangutan), 958 nucleotides long. RefSeq lists it as uncharacterized. The record is from RefSeq and is a predicted model, not a curated record. The transcript is spliced from 8 exons. Lineage: Eukaryota; Metazoa; Chordata; Mammalia; Primates; Hominidae.